Non-coding RNA from Acanthosepion pharaonis, 114 nucleotides. The record is from the annotation of a GenBank genome assembly. NCBI's taxonomy places the organism in Eukaryota, Metazoa, Mollusca, Cephalopoda, Sepiida, Sepiidae.
UUACGGUCAAAUCACGCUGAAAACACCGGUUCUCGUUCGAUCACCGAAGUUAAGCAUCGUAGAGCCAGGUCAGUACUUAGAUGGGGGACCCUGGUACUUGGGAACACCUGGUAC